RNAcentral lists this ribosomal RNA (245 nucleotides) under uncultured Eubacteriales bacterium. Its description in RNAcentral is "uncultured Clostridiales bacterium partial 16S ribosomal RNA". It matches the Rfam family "Bacterial small subunit ribosomal RNA", at positions 524 to 767 of the family's 1533-position model. Lineage: Bacteria; Bacillati; Bacillota; Clostridia; Eubacteriales. The record is from RNAcentral.
UACAUAGGGAGCAAGCGUUAUCCGGAAUUAUUGGGUGUAAAGGGUGCGUAGACGGGAAUGUAAGUUGGCUGUGAAAUCCCUCGGCUUAACUGAGUGAAUUGCAACCAAAACUGUAUUUCUUGAGUACUGGAGGGGAAAGUGGAAUUCCUAGUGUAGCGGUGAAAUGCGUAGAUAUUAGGAGGAACACCGGUGGCGAAGGCGACUUUCUGGACAGUAACUGACGUUGAGGCACGAAAGUGUGGGGA